ACUCGUAGCUGUGCGGGACUGGUAGCAGGACGGAUCACCAACUUUUGGAGUUUCCCACGGGUGUCUGGAGCACUUCUGAGAUCUGAAACACGGAUUCGGGAUCACUGUACUGCCCCGGGCCUCCAGGUCCCAGUUUGUGUAUCGCCUGAGGCAGUCCUGCGGCCUCUGGAACAAAGAUCAUUGGGAUUCCACCCUGCCUCGCUCUCUGGCACAGCCUGUCCACCAGACCUGCGGAUGUCCGAUCCUGGGUCAUCUGCCUUACCCGCUUGUUCCCUGGCUUCGAACAGAACGGAUGACUUUGCCUCAGGCAUGCUAACCUUCUCCUCCAGAAGCCCACAAUUCGUAUGGGGUGAGAAUUCAUAUGGAAUGACAGAGUUUUCUUGAGUAAUUGAGCAGAGUUUCCUCUGACUUUCCUACAGAAGGACAGGAGGAAGAGAACGGAGCUAAAGCAAUAUCUGAAACAAUUAUGGCUGAGAAAUUUCCAAAAGUGAUAGAAGACUUCAAGCCACAGAUCCAAGAAAUGCUAUGGAUUCCCAUGAAGACAAAUACAAAACAUUUAGAGCCCACCAAACAUGGUAUGGUCUAAGGUCUAAAGGGGUAUUUCACAAUAAGGAAGUGUGGGCCCAACUUUGCAUCUCUUCAUUGUGGGGCCUGUGAGUGAGGGAGAGGAAGAAGCAGCAAUCAUGGAGCAGGGCUAUAGCAUGGCUGCUGAUGGGGGAUAAUUAGGAGGGAAUGAAGGUAGCCUCAGAGGCUCAUUGAUCCCCUCAAACAUUGCUUGAAGACCUGUAACUCAAGAUUUGGCAGAAAAAUGGCUAAGAGUUUGCCUUCCCUUUUAUGAAGGAAAAAAAUAGCUAUAGUAAUUCUUACUUACAACUACUUAUACAAAGGGACAGAAAACCCAACUCAGUGGGUAUAGACCAUGAAGAGAUUUUGUUUUAUGUAAGUGCAAAGUCUGGCAGCAGCAAGCCUUACAGGUGUGGGUUGAUCUAACCAUUCAGGUGUCAAAAUCAAGGAUCUGCUUUCAUUCUGGCUCUCUGUUCUGCUUUACUUGGUGUUGGCAUAAUCUCUAAGCUCUACAAUGUAAUCCAGAACCAGGUCAGAGGCCUGCAGAAGGGAGGAGCACAUACAAAAGCACAUGGGCUGAAAUUGUUGUACUUAAUCACACGCUGUGGCUCGUGAAGACUUAGUGUCCCCUAUGUGGCUCUGGAAACAUGAAACUUGUAGAAACAGAGAUAAGAGUGGUUGUUUUCAGGGGACAGGGGGAGAUGUUUAAAGGGUACAAACUUUCAGUUUUCAGAUGAAUAAGUUCUGAGGAUCUAGUGUACAGCAUGGUGAGGCUAGUUAAUGUAGGGGAGGAAGACAUUUCCUCUUCCCAAAUGUGGGUUCGUCUGGCCGGAGAACGAAUUAAAUUCACCUGAGACAGAAUAGCAAGAGAAAAUUAAACAAAGCUUAAUGAGGAACCAUGGCCCGGGGCCUUUCUUCCCGAAGGAAGAAAGGGCACCGAAGAAGUGGGGUGCACAGAGUGGUUAUAUAUCCCCAAACAGGGUGUUUCACGUAUGAUUGAAAUGUCCCUUUUACAACAGUCACGAGCCUGCUCUGUCAGCACAGCCCUUGAUGGAGGCAGAUAGGUCUGCUGUCUCAGUGAACGCUGCGGGGUGGCAGGUGUGUUGCCUCGGGCUGGGGGAUCACAGAUGAGCGCAGCAAUCAGUUCCUUGCCUACAGAGAGGGAGGCACCUUUACAGAUAGAGAUUUACCUUACAGAUGUAAAUGUGUCCUAACAAAGGGCAAGUUCCACUCCUCAGAGCCUCCUUCCCUGUCCCACUUUAUCAAAAGCAAUCAGCCUCAAAUAAUCCUGAUGCCAAAGAGACAUAUCUUGGGGUGGCCAAUUUCAGGUCCCUGCAGUCCCGCCUUUGAAACUAAAAGUUUCACAAUCCAGAAGCUGAGUGGUAGAUUGUUUCAUCUCACUGAACACAUUUCUUAGUCCUGGUAAUAGAUCAGUCCAGUUAAAUUCAUUUUAGAAGGUGGCGACGCAGGAGUGGAACUUGCCCUUUGUUAGGACACAUUUACAUCUGUAAGGUAAAUCUCUAUCUGUAAAGGUGCCUCCCUCUCUGUAGGCAAGGAACUGAUUGCUGCGCUCAUCUGUGAUCCCCCAGCCCGAGGCAACACACCUGCCACCCCGCAGCGUUCACUGAGACAGCAGACCUAUCUGCCUCCAUCAAGGGCUGUGCUGACAGAGCAGGCUCGUGACUGUUGUAAAAGGGACAUUUCAAUCAUACGUGAAACACCCUGUUUGGGGGAUAUAGAACCACUCUGUGCACCCCACUUCUUCGGUGCCCUUUCUUCCUUCGGGAAGAAAGGCCCCGGGCCAUGGCUCCUCAUAAAGCUUUGUUUAAUUUUCUCUUGCUAUUCUGUCUCAGGUGAAUUUAAUUCGUUCUCCGGCCAGACGAACCCACAUUUGGGAAGAGGAAAUGUCUUCCUCCCCUACAUUAACUAGCCUCACCGUGCUGUACACUAGAUCCUCAGAACUUAUUCAUCUGAAAACUGAAAGUUUGUACCCUUUAAACAUCUCCC
Molecule: long non-coding RNA, 2571 nt
Organism: Equus caballus (horse)
Lineage: Eukaryota; Metazoa; Chordata; Mammalia; Perissodactyla; Equidae
Source: Ensembl